AUUUCUGCGAUGUUUAAUUACAAAAAUACUCUCAGCAUGAAGUAAUUUUUUAACCUGCCAUAUGUUUUUUUUAAGAGAUAGGUAACGCGCUACCUGCUUCGUUUAUUUCAUUUAGAAAUAAACUUAACUAGAAAUGUGAAUCAACUACGAUUCUAACUAGGGUCUAGGGUAUCAACCACCAAGUCUAUUGCCACUUGCUCUAGGGACGGUCGGUUAACCUACUACAUGUUAAAAUAAUACAUUUAUCCUUUAUUGAUCAACGGAUAAAUUUUUUUUAUUUUUUAUAAAAUAAAGUACCGAAUCAUUUCUCUAAGAUUUUAUAUUGUUCAUUAUAUUUUAUGAUAUUUCAAACAUAAGUUAUGUUAUUUAUGAUCUUUUAAAAAUUUUAUAUAUAUNGACAAAAAGAAAACAAAAAAAAAAAAAUCUUGCGGAUAACCCGCAUCUCCGCUAGCCCGCCUACGGGCAGGUAUAAGUAAAGAUGUUUGCUGCCUAAAAAUUUACGGAUAAAUUUUAUCUAUACCCAUAUGACCUAUGGAUACAUCUGCGAUUUAUCGAAUCCGCCUGUUUGCUAGAUUUACUUUCGAUGCUUUACUUUUGGCUAAUUAAUUAUAAACAUGUUCAAAAUAAAGUUGUCCAAAAUACCCGAUAUCCAUAUCCGAUCUGGACUCUACCUGGACCCUACCCAGACUUGACUUGAUAAAAAAUAAAUAGUAUACGGAUAAAAAAAAAAUAUCCAUUAAAGUUUUAGGUAUAUGUUUGGAUACUUUAUACCCAUACCCGAUAUCCAUUAAAGUUUUAGGUAUAUGUUUGGAUACUUUAUACUCAUACCCGACUUGAACACGAUCUGAACCCGACCUUUUAAUGGGUAGGGUUUGGAAGAGUUUCUAAAUCCAGACCCAAACCUGGACUUGGUGAAAUACCUGAUAGUAAAUAAAAAUGAUUUUGAAAUUAAGGGAUAAAUUUCAAUAGGAUUUAUAGAUAAAGGGUUUUCGUGUAUUUUUAUCGUAGUGAAAAUUUUGG
This 1020-nucleotide long non-coding RNA is filed under the name Ananas comosus (pineapple). RNAcentral describes it as "long non-coding RNA (ACOM_LNC017483)". The record is from RNAcentral. Lineage: Eukaryota; Viridiplantae; Streptophyta; Magnoliopsida; Poales; Bromeliaceae.